Molecule: ribosomal RNA, 205 nt
Filed under: uncultured bacterium
Lineage: Bacteria
Description: partial 16S ribosomal RNA
Rfam family: Bacterial small subunit ribosomal RNA
Source: RNAcentral
GACAGAGGGUGCAAACGUUUGUUCGGAAAUUACUGGGCGUAAAGCGCACGUAGGCGGCUUUGUAAAGUUAGAGGUGAAAAGCCUGGGGGCUCAACCCCAGAAAUUGCCUUUAAGACUGCAUCGCUUGAAUCCAGGAGAGGUGAGUGGAAAUUCCGAGUGUAGAGGGUGAAAAUUCGUAGAUAUUGGGAAGAAACACCAGUGGCGG